Molecule: ribosomal RNA, 430 nt
Filed under: Pseudomonadota bacterium
Lineage: Bacteria; Pseudomonadati; Pseudomonadota
Description: Proteobacteria bacterium partial 16S ribosomal RNA
Rfam family: Bacterial small subunit ribosomal RNA
Source: RNAcentral
UGGGGAAUAUUGGACAAUGGGGGGAACCCUGAUCCAGCCAUGCCGCGUGUGUAAAGAAGGCCUUAUGGUUGUAAAGCACUUUAAGCGAGGAGGAGGGUACUGGUAUUAAUACUACCAGGUACUGGACGUUACUCGCAGAAUAAGCACCGGCUAACUCUGUGCCAGCAGCCGCGGUAAUACAGAGGGUGCAAGCGUUAAUCGGAUUUACUGGGCGUAAAGCGCGCGUAGGCGGCUAAUUAAGUCAAAUGUGAAAUCCCCGAGCUUAACUUGGGAAUUGCAUUCGAUACUGGUUAGCUAGAGUGUGGGAGAGGAUGGUAGAAUUCCAGGUGUAGCGGUGAAAUGCGUAGAGAUCUGGAGGAAUACCGAUGGCGAAGGCAGCCAUCUGGCCUAACACUGACGCUGAGGUGCGAAAGCAUGGGGAGCAAACAGG